Molecule: ribosomal RNA, 497 nt
Filed under: uncultured bacterium
Lineage: Bacteria
Description: partial 16S ribosomal RNA
Rfam family: Bacterial small subunit ribosomal RNA
Source: RNAcentral
GAUGAACGCUGGCGGCGUGCCUAACACAUGCAAGUCGAACGGAAAGACGAGGAGCUUUUUCUUCUGCCGGUAGCGGGGGGCGGGUGAGUAACACAUGCAUCACCAACCUCUAUUUCUUGGGUAAUAUCGGGAGAACGGAUCUAAUACUAGCGCAUAUCUUCAACCGCUUGAUGCAGUGGUUCAUGACGGUUUUGCUGUCACUAUUAGCUGGUUCCGCGCCGGAUUAGCUAGUUGGUAAGGUAACGGCUUACCAAGGCGACGAUGCGUAGCAGACCUGAGAGGAUGAUCGGCCACACUGGAACUGAGACACGGUCCAGACGCCUACGGGAGGCAGCAGUAGGGAAUAUUGGGCAAUGGGCGGAAGCCUGAUGAAGCAACGCCGCGUGGGUGAUGAAGGUCUUCGGAUUGUAAAACUCUUUUGUUGGGAAAGAACAACUGCAGAAUAAUCUAUGGAUGUCUUGACGGUACCUAAACAAAAAGCACCGGCUAACUACGUG